This 472-nucleotide ribosomal RNA is filed under the name uncultured bacterium. RNAcentral's name for it is "bacterial SSU rRNA". It matches the Rfam family "Bacterial small subunit ribosomal RNA", at positions 29 to 501 of the family's 1533-position model. The record is from RNAcentral.
AUUGAACGCUGGCGGCAUGCUUUACACAUGCAAGUCGAACGGCAGCACGGGUGCUUGCACCUGGUGGCGAGUGGCGAACGGGUGAGUAAUGCAUCGGAACGUGCCCAUGAGUGGGGGAUAGCCCGGCGAAAGCCGGAUUAAUACCGCAUACGUCCUUAGGGGGAAGGCGGGGGAUCUUCGGACCUCGCGCUAUUGGAGCGGCCGAUGUCGGAUUAGCUAGUAGGUGAGGUAAAGGCUCACCUAGGCGACGAUCCGUAGCUGGUCUGAGAGGAUGAUCAGCCACACUGGGACUGAGACACGGCCCAGACUCCUACGGGAGGCAGCAGUGGGGAAUUUGGACAAUGGGCGCAAGCCUGAUCCAGCCAUGCCGCGUGAGUGAAGAAGGCCUCGGUGUAAGCGUCUUCAGUGGAAGAAAUAGACGCUGUUAUAGAUGGCGUUGAUGACGGUACACCAGAAGAAGACACCGGCUACU